UGACCUGAGGACGGGGAUAAACCCGGGAAACUGGGUAUAAUACCCGAUGGGCCUUGGAUGCUGGAAUGCGCCAAGGCCGAAAGCUCCGGCGCCUCAGGAUGGGUCUGCGGCCUAUCAGGGUAGUAGUGGGUGUAAUGUACCUACUAGCCUACGACGGGUACGGGUUGUGAGAGCAAGAGCCCGGAGAUGGAUUCUGAGACACGAAUCCAGGCCCUACGGGGUGCAGCAGGCGCGAAAACUUUACAAUGCUGGCAACAGCGAUAAGGGGACCUCGAGUGCCAGGAUACAAUCUUGGCUGUCGUGAUGCCUAAAAAGCAUUACAUAGCAAGGGCCGGGCAAGACCGGUGCCAGCCGCCGCGGUAACACCGGCGGCUCGAGUGGUAACCGCUAUUAUUGGGUCUAAAGGGUCCGUAGCCGGCCGAUCUAAGUCUCUUGGGAAAUCUGGCAGCUCAACUGUCAGGCUUUCAGGGGAUACUGGUCGGCUCGAGACCGGGAGAGGUGAGAGGUACUUCAGGGGUAGGGGUGAAAUCUUGUAAUCCUUGAAGGACCACCAGUGGCGAAGGCGUCUCACCAGAACGGAUCUGACGGCAAGGGACGAAAGCUAGGGGCACGAACCGGAUUAGAUACCCGGGUAGUCCUAGCCGUAAACGAUACUCGUUAGGUGUCAGCCACGGUGCGACCGUGGUUGGUGCCGUAGGGAAGCCGUGAAGCGAGCCACCUGGGAAGUACGGCCGCAAGGCUGAAAC
This 746-nucleotide ribosomal RNA is filed under the name uncultured archaeon S15-24. RNAcentral's name for it is "bacterial SSU rRNA". It matches the Rfam family "Archaeal small subunit ribosomal RNA", at positions 110 to 855 of the family's 1478-position model. The record is from RNAcentral.